This 514-nucleotide ribosomal RNA is filed under the name uncultured bacterium. Its description in RNAcentral is "partial 16S ribosomal RNA". It matches the Rfam family "Bacterial small subunit ribosomal RNA", at positions 28 to 523 of the family's 1533-position model. The record is from RNAcentral.
GAUGAACGCUGGCGGCGUGCCUAAUACAUGCAAGUCGAGCGAACAGAUGAGAAGCUUGCUUCUCUGAUGUUAGCGGCGGACGGGUGAGUAACACGUGGGUAACCUACCUAUAAGACUGGGAUAACUCCGGGAAACCGGGGCUAAUACCGGAUAAGAUUUUGAACCGCAUGGUUCAAUAGUGGAAGACGGUUUCGGCUGUCACUUAUAGAUGGACCCGCGCCGGAUUAGCUAGUUGGUAAGGUAACGGCUUACCAAGGCGACGAUACGUAGCCGACCUGAGAGUGUGAUCGGCCACACUGGAACGGAGCGACGUGCCAGACUCCUACGGGAGGCAGCAGUAGGGAAGCUUCCGCAAUGGGCGAAAGCCUGACGGAGCAACGCCGCGCGAGUGAUGAAGGUCGGCGGAGUGUAAGACUCUGUUGUUAGGGAAGAACAAAUUUGGGAGUGACUGAACAAGCCUUGACGGUACCUAACCAGAAAGCCACGGCUAACUACGUGCCAGCCGCCGCGGUAA